Long non-coding RNA from Esox lucius (northern pike), 3119 nucleotides. RefSeq lists it as uncharacterized. The record is from RefSeq and is a predicted model, not a curated record. The transcript is spliced from 2 exons. NCBI's taxonomy places the organism in Eukaryota, Metazoa, Chordata, Actinopteri, Esociformes, Esocidae.
CGAAAGUAUGACAUAAUCACUACACCAGCUGAGCGAGUAGAGAUGGCUCCUUUGAAUGAAGAGAAUGAUGAUGAAGAGGACUCCACCCUCUUUGAUGUUAAGUACAGGUGAAUGGCAACAUUAAUCAGAUGAUGCUGGAUUUUGAUUGCACCAUUCUCUCUAAGGGGAACACAACCCACGGAUUUGUGGCUUAAUGUUGUCUCAUAAUGUCUUCCAAUUUUUGGUAACUUUUCAGGUCUAGUCAAGUUAUUCAUUUCUCACAAUAUUUGCAAAAAAGGGUUACACUGUUUUUCUAUAAUGUAUUAUGUUUAUGAACGUGCUGUAUUUACAAAAAAAUUAUUCUAACAGAACACUCAUCUUCAAAGACAUAUUGCACAUAUUUUCUGAAUUGGGGCUAGACUGCAUAAAUGCAAAGGGAUAUUGCUUCUGAAAGGUAUUAACUAACUUAAUAGAUAGCAUUUCAUGGCUGCUGAUGAGGGCAGGGAAUUACUAUUACAAUGCUCUAUGUAUUGUGAUUCUCAUUCUUAAAGUCUGUUGAGAUUUUAUACUGUAAUUGUAUUUCAAUUUGCAGACAUAUAAGACUGCAUGAGUAAAUGUUUUAAUCAAUCAUGAAAGUACAAAUCCUGAAAACACUCUUAUAAAGAAGAUGAAGAACAAGCAAUAUGAAUGAUGACAAUGUGACGCAAUUACAGCCAUGUAGCGCUAGCUAUUGCACAUAGCAAAAUAUAAAAAUUGUACUUUUAGUCAAAGUAUCUAUAUAAAAUCAUCAACAUAACAUUAGAAUAUGUAACUGUUUUUGUUUUGCUAUUGCCACUUAAAGGCUGUCUUUAAGUUUCUGGCUGUCCUCUAAUGUUUGUGGUUUGUUAUUCAUUGUCUUUCAGACAUUGUUUUAUUGAUGUAUGGUUUGCACAUUGAAACAUUCUUAUUUACUAGUUGGGUGCAACAUUUGUUUAAUUGUCAGGUAUUUGAUUAUACUAAAUAUUACACUAACCUCUAAAAUGUAGAUACACUGUCUGAGGCUUUUUUUGUCCUCGUGUCUCAUGGUGGAUUUGGGUGCAUUGUUAUAUUGUAAGAUUUGCUGCUAUUUCUAACCUGAGGUUGGAUGAUGUUGUUAGGUGCAUGGAUUUGGUCACAGUGACACACAGCAUAUAGUGAAAAACAAUUCAUACAAUAGAUUGUAGGAGUUUGUUUCUCAAAGUUGUAUUGUAAAAUGUAUAAAUAGGUCUGUGUGUAUAUACACAUACAUACGCAUAGAGAGAGAGAUGUUUCAUUUUUUUAUAUUUUAUUAUAAAGCUUUUCUUAGGUAACAUUGGAUUUUAUGUUGGGAAAUAUUUGUAAUUAAAAAAGAAAUAUAUAACUUUUUGUUAGAGACAUCUUUCACUGCAGUAACAACUUCCAGCAUUUUACAGUGUUGGGGUGCUUUACUGUAUGUCUAUUCUGGUUCCAGAUUUUCUCCUGGUUUUCAGGUUGGCUGGAGAAAUCUUGUGUAUUGCAAUAUUCCAAAUAUUGCCACAGAUUCUUAAAUAGAUUGUGAUUAGGAAUUUGACUGGGCCACGGUAGGACAUUCACUUAAUGUUUUUCAACUACUCCAAUCUUGCUUUGGUUUUGUGAAUGGGAUCAUUGUCCUGCUGAAAGAUGCAUUUCCUCCCAAGCUUAAUUUUUCUAGUGAACCUUCUCCGUUGAACCAGUUUAUUUAUCUGAAAUUAUUUAUCAACUGCAGUUCAUACAGGGGUUUCCAAGUAACUCUGAUUAAUUCAAUUUGAGCUACCUGUUAGUCAUAUCUGUGUAUGCAAAUGUUUCCAUUUGUACUAAAAACAGUAGCAGAAGCAACAUGUUGCAUACAAUCAUUACUGGUGCAUUUUAUGUUAUUUUCAGUUGCUUAUACUGAAAUUCAACACUACUGUUGUUUGCUCCUUGGGGUGUUUUUGUAAAAGCACUUUGUGACAACUGCUGUUGUAAAAAGGGCUUUAUAAAUACAUUUGAUUGAUUAUACAGUAGAUAAUACAUUCAAUAAGCUUAUAAAAAGCAUAUUUUAUGUUCCAAAUACCAUGUAUUGACUCUACUAGCUCUUAUUAUAUUGUCAAAAGUAACACCAUAAUGGGAACUUAAAUUUGCCACACUCGGACAGUCCUGUCUGGGUUAAGUUGCCAGCUUUUUUAAAUCCGAGGUUCGGGUAUCAUUUUUUCAAACUCUUUAAACUUUAUUCACUUCAAGGAAUUAUGCUGGCAAUGAAUAACUGAUCUGCACAAGAUUUUCAUUAAGCCAUCUUCCCGCUGUAGAUAGAUCUACAUGGCCUUUGCUAUUGCUGUAAACACUUAAAGGGUAGGCACCACUGACUUAAAAUGUAUGUCAUGUAUGUUAUUUGUAUUUUAACUGUGCUAAUAUGUUAACCAUUUUAAAAUAGAUCAACCAUCAAUCUGCCUGCUAUGGUCCUGGGUCAAUGGUAUCGUACAGUUUUCAUAGUACUAGGACAUUUGAGCUAAAAACCUAGUUACCUAAAACGUUGCCUCAAGUACAAUUAUAAUUUAGUAACAUUCUAGUAAUCUAACGACAGAGUAAUUAUAGUAAUAUUUUUUAACUGCAACAACUGGUGUUCUUCCUAACUUUUUGAAACAUCUGGCAGUUUGACCACUUUCACAACAGUUUAUUUAACACUUAUGAAACCGUAAAAAAUCUUCCUUCUCUGCUAUUCCAGUAUAAAGUCAGAAAACUUCUUCCACUCCCACAAGAAAGUUACUGCAUGCCCCAGGACGUGUGUACACAUUUUAAAUCAAGUUUUAUAUUGCAGUUAUCAGAGAUUUUGAUAUUUUGUGAUUUUUAAUGCUUCAGGUUUUAAUAAUGUUCAGUUGGCAUCUUGUGUCUUUGAUUGCACUCUUGGUGUUUUUGUUUUAGAUUUACUGUUGCUGGACCAUCUCAUCUUCAUUAUACUCUCAAAAAGGAUAUUAGUGUGAAUGUUUAUGAUUUUCAGUGCAGUGUGUGAAUGUACAAUUACCUAUCAUUUGUAUGUUUCAGAUUUUGUCAGCUUUACAUCUUGUAAAUGCAACUUUAGCUGCUAUUCUCUAUGUAGACCUUAUCCUCAUCCUAACCAACCGCCAAAACAAUAAAAGCCUAAAUGAGAA